RNAcentral lists this transfer RNA (75 nucleotides) under Pseudomonadota bacterium. Its description in RNAcentral is "tRNA-Glu". It matches the Rfam family "tRNA". From Rfam's summary of the family: Transfer RNA (tRNA) molecules are approximately 80 nucleotides in length. Their secondary structure includes four short double-helical elements and three loops (D, anti-codon, and T loops). Further hydrogen bonds mediate the characteristic L-shaped molecular structure. tRNAs have two regions of fundamental functional importance: the anti-codon, which is responsible for specific mRNA codon recognition, and the 3' end, to which the tRNAs corresponding amino acid is attached (by aminoacyl-tRNA synthetases). tRNAs cope with the degeneracy of the genetic code in two manners: having more than one tRNA (with a specific anti-codon) for a particular amino acid; and 'wobble' base-pairing, i.e. permitting non-standard base-pairing at the 3rd anti-codon position. The record is from RNAcentral. Lineage: Bacteria; Pseudomonadati; Pseudomonadota. RNAcentral also lists the same sequence under 2 other names.
GGCGCAUUCGUCUAGUGGCUAGGACAUCAGGUUUUCAGCCUGAGAACAAGGGUUCGAUUCCCUUAUGCGCUACCA